Molecule: long non-coding RNA, 542 nt
Filed under: Junco hyemalis (dark-eyed junco)
Lineage: Eukaryota; Metazoa; Chordata; Aves; Passeriformes; Passerellidae
Description: lncRNA (ENSJHYG00000017029.1)
Source: RNAcentral
AUGUAUUUGUUUUCAGCCUUGGUUGUAGGUGAAACCAGGACAGGCAGGACAGGAGGCUGCAGCAGCCAAGAAUUUGUCUCGGUUAUGAGAGCUGUUUCAGGGGGAAAGAAGAAAAAGGUAAUACUGGAACUCCUCCUUCAUUUUGGACUGUAUAGCUCAGACCUGCUGUGGAGGUACUGCACACAGCACUGCUGCUGUGCCUGGGUUUUUAUGAAGUCAUUGGAAAGAUUUAAUUAAAACUGUUUUCUAGAUUUCAUCUUCUGCAGGAAUGGUCUUUUAAAGAUUCUACCUCUGGGGUAUUGUUUAUCCAAUUUAAGGUAUUGAAAUGCAGAAUAUUAUUCUGGUGUAUUUAUUCUGUGGAAAUCUAGACUUAAUUUUUUUCCUAAACAGUUUGCCAUUAUGUGGAGGAGGCACAGUCCAUGUUCUGCAACUGCUGUGAGAGUGAGAUUGAAAUGAGUUUGAUUUGUUGCUGCAUUUUAUCUAAAGCCUGCAGGUAUCUUGGCUUCAUUGUAUCUAAUACCAUAAGUAUUUAUUGUUUUUCU